UGGGGAAUCUUCCGCAAUGGACGAAAGUCUGACGGAGCAACGCCGCGUGUAUGAUGAAGGUCUUCGGAUUGUAAAGUACUGUCAUUGGGGAAGAACGGUUUUCUUGAGAAUAUUGAGAAGACAUGACGGUACCCAAGGAGGAAGCCCCGGCUAACUACGUGCCAGCAGCCGCGGUAAUACGUAGGGGGCAAGCGUUGUCCGGAAUUAUUGGGCGUAAAGGGCGCGUAGGCGGGCCUUUAAGUCCGGUGUGAAAGAUCAGGGCUCAACCCUGAGAGUGCAUCGGAAACUGGAGGCCUUGAGGACAGGAGAGGAAAGUGGAAUUCCACGUGUAGCGGUGAAAUGCGUAGAUAUGUGGAGGAACACCAGUGGCGAAAGGCGACUUUCUGGACUGUAACUGACGCUGAGGCGCGAAAGCGUGGGGAGCAAACAGGAUUAGAUACCCUGGUAGUCCACGCCGUAAACGAUGAGUGCUAGGUGUAGAGGGUAUCGACCCCUUCUGUGCCGCAGUUAACACAAUAAGCACUCCGCCUGGGGAGUACGGCCGCAAGGUUGAAACUCAAAUGAAUUGACGGGGUCAUAGCUG
RNAcentral lists this ribosomal RNA (583 nucleotides) under uncultured bacterium. RNAcentral describes it as "partial 16S ribosomal RNA". It matches the Rfam family "Bacterial small subunit ribosomal RNA", at positions 355 to 932 of the family's 1533-position model. The record is from RNAcentral.